CCAAUAGCGUAUAUUAAAGUUGUUGCAGGUAAAAAGCUCGUAGUUGAAUUUCGGGAUUAGUAAGUUGGUCGUGCCUCCGGUAUGUACUGGCUUUACUGGUUCCUCCUUCUUGAAGAACUGUAAUGUAAUUAAUUUGGUGUUGCAGGGAAACAGGACUGUUACUUUGAAAAAUUUAGAGUGUUUAAAGCAGGCUAACGCCGGAAUACAUUAGCAUGGAAUAAUGAAAUAGGACGUUUGAUCCUAUUUUGUUGGUUUCUAGGAUUGACGUAAUGAUUAAUAGGGAUAGUUGGGGGCAUUAGUAUUCAAUUGUCAGAGGUGAAAUUCUUGGAUUUAUUGAAGACUAACUACUGCGAAAGCAUUUGCCAAGGAUGUUUUCAUUAAUCAAGAACGAAAGUUAGGGGAUCGAAGACGAUCAGAUACCGUCGUAGUCUUAACCAUAAACUAUGCCGACUAGGGAUCGGAUGAUGUUAAUUUUUUAAUGACUCAUUCGGCGCCUUACG
RNAcentral lists this ribosomal RNA (500 nucleotides) under uncultured Glomeromycotina. RNAcentral describes it as "partial small subunit ribosomal RNA". It matches the Rfam family "Eukaryotic small subunit ribosomal RNA", at positions 591 to 1092 of the family's 1831-position model. The record is from RNAcentral. Lineage: Eukaryota; Fungi; Glomeromycota.